CCAAGCCUCGUGCUCUGACUCCAUUCGAACUCUCCCAAUCUUUGUGCGACACAACGUAAAUUACUGUUCUUGCCCAUUUCCGAAACCCUAGAUCCCCCUCUUAGUCAAUUUCAAGAUGGUGUCGGACGCAAGCAAGAAGAAGGCAGCGCAGAAGAAGGCGGCAGCGGCGGCCAAGAGAGGUGGCAAGGCCGCGGCUCCUGCAUCCUCGUCGAAGACGGCUGAAAAUGGAAGUAAAGUUGAUAAUUUGGCGAAUGAGGUCGAAGCGCUUCUGAUAUCCGAUCGGACAUGUACCGGAGUUCUGUGCUCUCAUCCGCUUUCCAGAGAUAUUCGGGUUAGUUGUCAGAUUCAAUUUCAGUUUUGGUUCUGAUGAAUUUCUUUUUUCUUUAUUUUUUUAAUUUCAGAUUUCUUGGUUUGUAUUGUUUACA
Olea europaea var. sylvestris is the source of this 425-nucleotide long non-coding RNA. RefSeq lists it as uncharacterized. The transcript has 2 exons. The record is from RefSeq and is a predicted model, not a curated record. NCBI's taxonomy places the organism in Eukaryota, Viridiplantae, Streptophyta, Magnoliopsida, Lamiales, Oleaceae.